UGCAUCGGCUGGGAAUCGAACCCGGGGCACUCGGGUGGCAGGCGAGCAUUCUACCACUGAACCAAAAGC
RNAcentral lists this transfer RNA (69 nucleotides) under Cordylochernes scorpioides. RNAcentral's name for it is "tRNA-Gly". The record is from RNAcentral. Lineage: Eukaryota; Metazoa; Arthropoda; Arachnida; Pseudoscorpiones; Chernetidae.